UGGGGAAUAUUGGACAAUGGGCGCAAGCCUGAUCCAGCCAUGCCGCGUGAGUGAUGAAGGCCCUAGGGUUGUAAAGCUCUUUCACCGGUGAAGAUAAUGACGGUAACCGGAGAAGAAGCCCCGGCUAACUUCGUGCCAGCAGCCGCGGUAAUACGAAGGGGGCUAGCGUUGUUCGGAUUUACUGGGCGUAAAGCGCACGUAGGCGGACCAUUAAGUCAGGGGUGAAAUCCCGGGGCUCAACCCCGGAACUGCCUUUGAUACUGGUAGUCUUGAGUUCGAGAGAGGUGAGUGGAAUUCCGAGUGUAGAGGUGAAAUUCGUAGAUAUUCGGGGGAACACCAGUGGCGAAGGCGGCUCACUGGCUCGAUACUGACGCUGAGGUGCGAAAGCGUGGGGAGCAAACAGG
Molecule: ribosomal RNA, 404 nt
Filed under: Actinomycetes bacterium
Lineage: Bacteria; Bacillati; Actinomycetota; Actinomycetes
Description: Actinobacteria bacterium partial 16S ribosomal RNA
Rfam family: Bacterial small subunit ribosomal RNA
Source: RNAcentral